UGCUCUGAGUUCUUCUUUCUGGAUAAUAUGAUUUAUUCUCCUCCGCAUUUCUAAAAAGUAUAGAGCUCUUUUCCCGACACAAAUCUUUCUCUUUAUGUGUUUCAUCCCAACUCUUCUGCCAGGAUCAGAAUAAUCCUUCAAGUAAACUCAGUUUUACACGCUACCAGGCAGAUCUGUGUUCCUAGUGCUCAGACCUUGGGGCAGGAGGGGUGUUAAAGAAUGAAUUAGUUAUAUUAAGAAGUGCUGAUUUUUUUUAAAAUGAAGCUAAUUUCAAACAAGUCUCGUGCUGUCUGAAGAUUCCUGCAUUCUUGUAUUUUUCUUUAUAUCCCUCCUCCUCAGGAGCUUGAGAGACAUAUACUGCGGGACAAAUUCUGUCCAUACAAAUGUAUGUGAGUAGUUCACUGCUAGUGACUUCACUGAGAAUACUCAGGUAAAUCUAUCGCUGAGCACCCCAAAUCAACGUUUGGAUGAAACGCAGACGAUCUGGCGUCUGAAUUUCAAUUUUAAGACAAGUCAAAUAGCUCAACAGAAAAGUCCUUCAAAGAACAAUGAAAAAAAAAGAAAAGAAAAGAAAAGGCUUUGCUGAACGAGAGAACAGCAGGCAAGUGCAACUCAUGUUGGAAGCAGUCUCGCUUUUAUGAAUAAAGUCUGCAAAAUAUCAACCUAAAGUGUAUGU
RNAcentral lists this long non-coding RNA (676 nucleotides) under Chrysemys picta bellii (western painted turtle). RNAcentral describes it as "lncRNA (ENSCPBG00000007558.1)". Lineage: Eukaryota; Metazoa; Chordata; Testudines; Emydidae. The record is from RNAcentral.